Molecule: long non-coding RNA, 1512 nt
Organism: Homo sapiens (human)
Lineage: Eukaryota; Metazoa; Chordata; Mammalia; Primates; Hominidae
Product: long intergenic non-protein coding RNA 343
Source: Ensembl
GGUAGGGAGGUAUGGAUAUGGACAAGCUAUGCCAAGGAGCAGGGCUUUGUCAUGGAGAGUGACUAGGUGCUUUUACAUAGGAAAGUCACCUGAUAAUAUUAAAACCUGUGAAAUAUCACUCUGGUGGAAGUGUGAAUGAAUUUGAAAGGGGUGUAACACUGUUCUACUUUGUUUACUCCUCAGUACCCUUGGCUGUGUACAUUUGAGUAAAGAGAGCACUAUAAAAUCAAAAACCAAUGAAAUGGUUUCCAGAACACAGAACUAUUAAGCUUAAGAAAAGGACAGAAGGAACUGAAGAGAGAGGAACUGUUUUGGAGCAUCACACUUCCACCUCAGAAGAAAUAAGGAAGGAAGGAGGAGGGUGUUCCCACGGCUCUUCAACCAGGCCGGCUCUUCAGCCUACAUCCCCAUCUCAUCAAGUAAAAGGGAUUUUUCAACUGGACCAACCAGAUGGUUUAACAGUGCACUCCCACACCAUUCAACUACGCAAGGGAGAUACACUUAACAUAUGCAGUCGUAUAACACCUACUAACAUUUUCAAACAUUAAACCUUUAAAAAAGAGUUCUAAAGAAAUAGAAGCUUGAAGUAUCAUCUCUCAAGUAUAUAGACACUACUUCAUGGUGUGGUAAUAUAUGCAUAUAGAAGCUAGUAAACACCUCCAGGAGAUGCAAAAGGAAUUAGAACUGCCACAAGGUGCAAGCAAAACCUUGAGAUGGUGUCAGCUUCCUCAAACCACACAGCUGACCGUGGAGAAAGAGAUCGUUUGUCAAAAGACAGUUGAGGUCCUGUUACCGGGGGGAAAAAUGCCAGAAACAAAAGUUCUGUUUUUCCUCUUCUAAUCCUUCACCCAUCUGAGCUAAAGUCUAGACCUAAGGAGGCUACUAAUUCAGGGAUCGAGUAAUCUGCCAAGCAAGAGUUUAUUCAAGCACAGUUUGAAAUAAAGGUUUCAAAUGCAUAGCCUGUCGAUACUUUGGAAGGAUUCUCAUCAUAACGAGAUAUGGGAGGACACCUGAGACGGCAGGCCAGAAGUCACUCAGUAGGAGAAACAUCCGUUAGAAGUAAUAAUGUGGGAUUGCUGAAGUAAAGACUAUAGGAAGAAAAAAGUGUCUGUGUGUAGGAAACGGAAAGGGAGAGAAAAAUACACUGAGAUGGUAAAGUAAGGAAGUGGAAGAUCAGCAGAAUGUGCAGAUGCCAAGCCAUCCAAGAAAAUCAUCUCUUGUGAUUGUUGCGAAGUCAACUAGCUAAUGUGACUCACUGCUAGGCUGUUGGAUCUGAGACUUAUGUGGGAUAAUUUAGAAACUUGCUAGUGUCUUAAGAUCAAUUACUCACCAAUGAGAGUGGCAUUGAACUGUGAAUGUUCCUCCUAGAUUUUCCAUGAAGACUAAUGGUUUUGUCUUGUCUUGAAUUUGUUUUAAUUACAAUUUGUAUACAUCCUGUUCCACCCUGAAAUUUUUAUUUUCCAAAUGGUUUUUCAUUUAAAGAGACUAAAUAAAGGUUCUGACUGAGUUGUA